Molecule: long non-coding RNA, 1456 nt
Organism: Oncorhynchus gorbuscha (pink salmon)
Lineage: Eukaryota; Metazoa; Chordata; Actinopteri; Salmoniformes; Salmonidae
Exons: 3
Source: RefSeq, a predicted model, not a curated record
UGACAACAGUGGGUCGAGGAUAUUUCUGGUUGCGACAACCAAUCAUAUCGCCGUCUGCAACCAAGACGUAACCAAGAAUUGUUCUCGCCAACCAAUCCGAGACGCCAGUGCAACCAAUAAUUGACCAAUGAGGAUAGAACUAUGGCGGGACCUUUAAACUCGAGUCAAGAGGCCCAUGGAAAAGUGUAUUUCCUUACAGGUAAUUUUGUUCGCGAGUUUAAUUUAUUUUCUGAAGUAACAUGAGCUAUAGCGGGAUCUUUAAACGCAAGAAGAGACAAUGGAAAAAUAUAUUUCCUCAGGGAGAGAAGUAUGCCUUCCCAAGGGAUAGCAACGCAUGUAGCCUGUUUGUAUCAUAAGUGGAAGUCCAAGGCAUAUUGUUCAGGUGGUCGGGGAAUGGGAUUCCAGAGAUGGUCUUUUCCAGGCUUGACAGAGUGUGGUGUGACCGACCCUCCACCACCAUCUGCAGCCCAGUAGAGAUGGAGAGGUGAGCUGAUAGGUUUGGGGUACCUCUUCGAUCAGACUGGUUUGGUGCUGCAGGAUCACAAGGCUGCUAUUGAGGAACUGGAGACAGGUGAUCCUGAUGUCCAAGAGGAGGAUGAUGAGGGCUUUGUGGCGCUUGUGGAAGUUCAGGACCUGACAGUUCCAGUGGUGGAGACAGCCCUGCCUCUUGUUAGCACCUUUUGCCCUACUGUCACCCCCUCUACCAGCAUCCAGUCCACAGCUGCAUCAGUCAGUCCCCUGUCCUCCACUCCUUUACGGGCUACUGUCACCCCCUCUACCAGCAUCCAGUCCACCGCUGCAUCAGUCAGUCCCCUGUCCUCCACUCCUUUACGGGCUACUGUCACCCCCUCUACCAGCAUCCAGUCCACAGCUGCAUCAGUCAGUCCACUGUCCUCCACUCCUUUACGGGCUACUGUCACCCCCUCUACCAGCAUCCAGUCCACCGCUGCAUCAGUCAGUCCACUGUCCUCCACUCCUGUACGGGCUACUCCACCACCAGUUGGUCCUCUGUUCAUGACCUCCACACCUGUGCCUGACUGGUCCUCUGUUCAUGAUCUCCACACCUGUGCCUGACUGGGCCUCUGUUCAUGACCUCCACACCUGUGCCUGACUGGGCCUCUGUUCAUGACCUCCACACCUGUGCCCGGCUGACACUCAGUCAGCUCCGUCUUCUGUUCCUUACGGGCUGGGCAUUCUGAUGGAGCCAGGGAUCAAUAUUUCUUCAUUAUCAGUUAAUUAUAUAUAAUUGUAAUUAUUUGUGUUCAAUUGUUUGUCCCUCUGGUUUCAAAGGUAUUGUCCCCUUAAAUCAGUCUGGGGACAAAAGCCCUGAAUUCUCUAAUUACAUUUUGAUCAAUUAUUAAUGUCAGUCUUUCAAUGCUCCAUUGUAUAAACUAUGUAAUGUUCCUGCUUGUGUGCACUGAUUUAAAACAAUUAGAGUAUAUUUGUCGUUAUCACG